This 371-nucleotide ribosomal RNA is filed under the name uncultured organism. RNAcentral describes it as "bacterial SSU rRNA". It matches the Rfam family "Bacterial small subunit ribosomal RNA", at positions 526 to 896 of the family's 1533-position model. The record is from RNAcentral.
CGUAGGGGGCGAGUGUUGUCCGGAAUUACUGGGCGUAAAGGGCGCGUAGGCGGCCCGCUAAGUCCGUUGUGAAAGACCGAGGCUCAACCUCGGAGUGUCAACGGAGACUGGUAGGCUGGAGGGUCGGAGAGGAGCGGGGAAUCCCUGGUGUAGCGGUGGAAUGCGUAGAGAUCAGGGGGAACACCGAUGGCGAAGGCACCGCUCUGGCCGAUCACUGACGCUGAGGCGCGAAAGCUGGGGGAGCGAACGGGAUUAGAUACCCCGGUAGUCCCAGCCGUAAACGAUGUCGACUAGGUGUGGGGGGAGUCACUCCCUCCGUGCCGCAGCUCACGCAUGAAGUCGACCGCCUGGGGAGUACGGCCGCAAGGUUG